GAUGGCGUGCCUUUUGUAGAAUGAACCGGCGAGUUACGAUUUGAUGCAAGGUUAAGCAGUAAAUGUGGAGCCGUAGCGAAAGCGAGUCUGAAUAGGGCGUUUAGUAUUUGGUCGUAGACCCGAAACCAGGUGAUCUACCCUUGGUCAGGUUGAAGUUCAGGUAACACUGAAUGGAGGACCGAACCGACUUACGUUGAAAAGUGAGCGGAUGAACUGAGGGUAGCGGAGAAAUUCCAAUCGAACCUGGAGAUAGCUGGUUCUCUCCGAAAUAGCUUUAGGGCUAGCCUCAAGUGAUGAUUAUUGGAGGUAGAGCACUGUUUGGACGAGGGGCCCCUCUCGGGUUACCGAAUUCAGACAAACUCCGAAUGCCAAUUAAUUUAACUUGGGAGUCAGAACAUGGGUGAUAAGGUCCGUGUUCGAAAGGGAAACAGCCCAGACCACCAGCUAAGGUCCCAAAAUAUAUGUUAAGUGGAAAAGGAUGUGGCGUUGCCCAGACAACUAGGAUGUUGGCUUAGAAGCAGCCAUCAUUUAAAGAGUGCGUAAUAGCUCACUAGUCGAGUGACACUGCGCCGAAAAUGUACCGGGGCUAAACAUAUUACCGAAGCUGUGGAUUGUCCUUUGGACAAUGGUAGGAGAGCGUUCUAAGGGCGUUGAAGCAUGAUCGUAAGGACAUGUGGAGCGCUUAGAAGUGAGAAUGCCGGUGUGAGUAGCGAAAGACGGGUGAGAAUCCCGUCCACCGAUUGACUAAGGUUUCCAGAGGAAGGCUCGUCCGCUCUGGGUUAGUCGGGUCCUAAGCUGAGGCCGACAGGCGUAGGCGAUGGAUAACAGGUUGAUAUUCCUGUACCACCUAUAAUCGUUUUAAUCGAUGGGGGGACGCAGUAGGAUAGGCGAAGCGUGCGAUUGGAUUGCACGUCUAAGCAGUAAGGCUGAGUAUUAGGCAAAUCCGGUACUCGUUAAGGCUGA
Molecule: ribosomal RNA, 963 nt
Filed under: Staphylococcus aureus
Lineage: Bacteria; Bacillati; Bacillota; Bacilli; Caryophanales; Staphylococcaceae
Description: partial 23S ribosomal RNA
Rfam family: Bacterial large subunit ribosomal RNA
Source: RNAcentral